RNAcentral lists this long non-coding RNA (1145 nucleotides) under Gallus gallus (chicken). Its description in RNAcentral is "lncRNA (ENSGALG00010014694.1)". Lineage: Eukaryota; Metazoa; Chordata; Aves; Galliformes; Phasianidae. The record is from RNAcentral.
AAUGGAUUUUUACUUAGAAUACCCUAGAAGAUAGCAUCUGGCUGAAGAGCCCAGAAUUAUUGAAUUUCUAUUCCCCCUGAAGGCAAUUAGAAACUAUGAUCAAGGCACACUUUAGCCUUUUUAUGGAGAAUUGUUACAGCAGCUUACUCAAAGAUGUGCAGAGUGCUAAGUGCUAUAUGCCAUCAGAAUACUCCCUGAGCUCGCUACUUGGAAAUUCUCUCAACAGAAGGCUUUUGAAGAAAGAGCUUGAAUAAGGUCAAAAUAGAAACACCUUUAUCUCUGCAUGCUCCAUGUCGAUGACAACAUGCCUUCGCCGAAGAGAGUAGCUUCUCCAUGACCUUUUGGACUCUUCUAAUGCCUGAUCUGAUAAAAAAGAUCUGGCAGCCAGGGGUGAAAUGAACUUGAGCUGAGGUCAAAAAGUGAAUCUCAUCACUCUUGAAUACUCAAGCAGCAAAGGUAUAUACCUUGGCAUUAGUCCCUUUCUCUGGAGGAACCGAAAUCUUGCAUGCAAACAUCUAAUGCGUAGAAAAUUUGGAUACAGUCAAAAUGGAGCUGCUCAUUAAUUCUGAAAUGUUCUCAUGUUCUACUGCAGAUUAUCUUUCCAUCACAGCACAAGUCUACCAUGUGUAGUACUUCAGUGCUGAGAUGCACUGAUCUCAUCAAUGUUCUCCUACAGAAGUUAAUAAGCCUGUGAGGAAAGUUUAUUUACAUUUUAACUAAUCCAUGUCUAGCCACUGUUGAUACAGUAAAGAAGAAAGUGCCUCAAAUAUCUUCAAGAAAAACAGUAGUUGUUUUGUGAAAUGGAAAGCGCUAAUGAUGUUGAUAGCUGCAACACGGUUAUUUUGAGCAUUACAGUGUACGUUAUUUAUGUUUCUAUUCAGCUUCUGCAAAUUGCAAGUGCUAUGAUGGUGUUGGAGUUUUCAGUUUUAUUUACUUUUGAAGAAUUUGGGUGCUUUACAUUCUAUUAAACCUGAGCUAGUCACUUUUUUAUAAAACAGUGUGUGCUAUUUUAAUGUAACAGGGAUUUAUGUGUAACAAAUAUCUUUUCUAAUGCCUUAAAAGCUAGCAAGGAUAGAAAUAAAUGUAUUUUAUGAACAUUCCUUUCAUUUUAAAGUGUUGCUCAACCAAGACAAUUUAUAACAUAA